CAGGGGGCCCUGCAGGCAGCUGUGGUCACAUCUGCCAAACCUACGUGCCAUCCUGACGACUUGGGAGGUCUGCCCAAGAUCCUAUCACUUUGGGGUAGAGUUAAAGUCCCACCCAGCUGACCUCUUUGUCACUUUGCCCUCACUCUCUGGGCCUUUCCUCCAUGUGCUCACUACAUGCUAUCAUCACCUCGGAUUGUAAUUGUUAGGUCAGCCAGCAGCCGCCUGGUUUCCUCCAUCGACAGCAAGCUCACUGCCUCUGGUGAUGAAGUUCUUUAUGUUGGUCCCAAAUCCCUCCCAGGCCCUGGUUCAUGACUCACACUUGACUUGAAAGGCACAAUGUCAACCGAUAACGACAGCUGUUUUCUGUGGACUGAGACCCCACUCCCCUGGGUCUGAAACCCACCUGGCCCCCAGCAUGGCUCAGCGCAUGACUGACUGAAUUAACCACAGCAACUGUGUAAAGCCUUGGCGGGUUCUCUUUUCCCUGUUUCACAGAGAAACUGAGUCCCGGAGAGUCAAGAGUCUGCAGACCAUGGCAGAGGGGAUGUUGGAAGCCACGCUCCCUUCUACCGAGACCCUUGCUCCUUCUGAGACCACAUUCCGCAGAGGCAGAAACAAACACCCACCCCUCCGAGCCCGUCUGCCCCACGUGCACACAUGCUCUUCCUUCCAGAACCUUCUCUGUCUGCUUCCUCCCUUCCCACCAUCUGGGAUGGAAGCCUGCACUUGAACUGCCCGUUCCCAUAGCUGUUCCCCAAAGACAGUGGCCUGACCUUGUGUCGACACUCACAGCACAUGAUAAAGGAUAAAAGAUUUGGAGCCACCCUUGAGGGCCAGCAGGGGGAAGGACUCUGUGAGAACAGCCAUCUGGGGAGAGAUAAGGGGAAGGCACAGCACCAGGAGACAACGCCGUGAGCUCCUUAAAGAAGAAAGACGGCAUUUCCCUGCAGGUGCUUAGCAGCAGCUGUUGAAGCUGUUAUUCCGGGCAGUGCCAGAAUAUCUACGAUCCAAAUGUCAGGCUCGGGGAUUCCAAUCCUGGUCUGAGUGACACAAGGCAGGAUCCCAAGAGCAGCGUCCGCAGAAGGGCGGGGAGCAGUGAGGACGUGAGUAAAUGCUGGUAGUGGUGGUGGUGGCCGUGGCUGCUCUGCUCUGCACUGAAGAGUGGCACAGAGUGGCACAGAAGCUGGCUCCUGGAAUCGGUGUAGGAUUCUGUACUCUCCACCAGGCUUUCCCUGAGUGUGUCCCCCGUGCAGCCUUGGGCACAGAAAGGAGUAGAGAUCCGAGCCUGACUUGAUGGGAUUUAGAUGCUGGAAUGGUUAAGACUUCGGGGGAUAUAGGGAUAGUGUGAAUGUACUUUGCAUAUAAGAAGGGCAUGAAUUUGGGGGGCCAGAGGCAGAUUGUUAUGGGUUAAGUGGUAUCCCACUGAAAGAUGCAUUGAAGUCCUAAGCCCCAGUGCCUGUCAAAGCGACCUUUUUGGGAAUGAAGUCCUUGCAGAUGUUAAUUAGUUAAGAUGAGGCCAUACUGGAGUAGAGUGGGCUCUAAUCUAAUAUGACUGGUGUCCUUAAAAGAAGAGGAAAUUUGGGACACCUGGGUGGCUCAGUUGGUUAAGCUUCUGACUCUUGAUUUCAGCUCAGAUCAUGAUCUCACAGUUCAUGAGCUCGAGCCGCAUCUUGGGUUCUGCACUGACAGUGUGGAGCCUGCUUGGGAUUCUCUCUGUCCCUUUCUCUCUGCCACUGCCCUGCACACACCCUCUCUCUAAAUAAAUAAAUAAAUAAACUUUAAAAAAAAAAAAGAGAGAGAGAGAGGAGGGAAAUUUGAACACAGACGUAGCAGGAGGAAAAAAUUUGUUUUUCUGAGCUUAUUUAUUUAUUUAAUUUAGAGAGACAGAGAGAGAGAGCAUGAGUGGGAGAGGGGCAGACACAGAGGGAAAGAGAUAGAACCUCACAUGGGGGUUGAACCCACAAACUAUGACAUCAUGACCUGAGCUGAAACCAAGAGUCAGAUGCUUAACUGACUGAGCCACCCAGAUGCCCCCAAAAUAUCUGUUGUUUUAAGCCAACAGUGUGAGCUUCCUAGGUACAUAACAAAGUACCACAAAUUGGUAAGCAAUAGGAAUCUGUGGCCUCACAGUUCUGGAGGCUAGAGACCCAAGAUCAAGGUGUCACAGGGUUGGUUCCUUCUGGGGUUGUGAGGGAGGGUCUGUUCCCUGCCUCUCCCUGCCCCCGCCCCCCAGCUUCUGGGGUUUAACGGCAUCAUUGGCACUUCCUGGCUUGUAGACAUGUCUCCCGAUCUCUGCCUCCUCUGUGUCCAAAUGUCCCUUUCUAUAAGGACACCUGCCAUGUUGGACUAGGGCCCACCCUGAUGACCUCAUUUUAACUUGAUUACUCUGUAAAGAUCCUCUCUUCAAAUCAGGUCACAUUCUUUUCUUUUUUUUUUUUUUUAAUGUUUAUUUAUUUUUGAGAGAGUACAAUCGAGGGAGGGGCAGAGAGAGGGGAACAGUGGAUCUGAAGACAGCUUUGCACUGACAGCAGUGAGCCUGAUGUGGGGCUUGAACUCACGAACCAUGAGAUCAUGACCUGAGUCGAAGUUGGACACUCAACCGACUGAGCCACCCGGGUGCCCCAAGGUGACAUUCUGAGGUCCUGGGGGUUAAGACUCCAACGUGUAAAUUUUGAGGGGACCCAAUUUAAUUUAUAACACCUGUUCAAGGUUCAGGGCCUGGGCUUUUUUUUUCUCAUGUUAAUUGUAGAUUUACAGUGUAAACGUGCCAUGAAUUUUAUCAA
Molecule: long non-coding RNA, 2783 nt
Organism: Neofelis nebulosa (Clouded leopard)
Lineage: Eukaryota; Metazoa; Chordata; Mammalia; Carnivora; Felidae
Exons: 2
Source: RefSeq, a predicted model, not a curated record